UAGGGAAUCUUCCACAAUGGACGCAAGUCUGAUGGAGCAACGCCGCGUGAGUGAAGAAGGUUUUCGGAUCGUAAAGCUCUGUUGUUGGUGAAGAAGGAUAGAGGCAGUAACUGGUCUUUAUUUGACGGUAAUCAACAGAAAGUCACGGCUAACUACGUGCCAGCCGCCGCGUUAAUACGUAGGUGGCAAGCGUUGUCCGGAUUUAUUGGGCGUAAAGCGAGCGCAGGCGGAAUGAUAAGUCUGAUGUGAAAGCCCACGGCGCAACCGUGGAACUGCAUCGGAAACUGGCAUUCUUGAGUGCAGAAGAGGAGAGUGGAAUUCCAUGUGUAGCGGUGGAAUGCGUAGAUAUAUGGAAGAACACCAGUGGCGAAGGCGGCUCUCUGGUCUGCAACUGACGCUGAGGAUCGAAAGCAUGGGUAGCGAACAGG
This 428-nucleotide ribosomal RNA is filed under the name bacterium. Its description in RNAcentral is "partial 16S ribosomal RNA". It matches the Rfam family "Bacterial small subunit ribosomal RNA", at positions 355 to 776 of the family's 1533-position model. The record is from RNAcentral.